This 321-nucleotide long non-coding RNA is filed under the name Lathyrus oleraceus (garden pea). RNAcentral's name for it is "Pisum sativum (pea) long non-coding RNA (PSAT_LNC005760)". Lineage: Eukaryota; Viridiplantae; Streptophyta; Magnoliopsida; Fabales; Fabaceae. The record is from RNAcentral.
UCGUUUCUAGUUUGUGCAAUAACUUGUGAAUUAUGUUUAGUUGAUCCGCAACAGUGUGAAAGUUUGAAGUCAACCAUUCAAGACCUGAUAAAGAAGAACAACUCGUUUCUAGUUUGUGCAAUAACUUGUGAAUUAUGUUUAGUUGAUCCGCAACAGUGUGAAAGUUUGAAGUCAACCAUUCAAGACCUGAUAAAUCAAGGAAUUCUUUUGAUAGACCGACCCUCUACACUCAAAUAUGUGUCCACUCUAGAAAUACCAUACGAUGAAGUUCCCUCUCUGCAAAUUUCAUAUGACCUAUCUCAAUUAACUCUCUUAGCAAAU